UGGCGGCGUGCCUAACACAUGCAAGUCGAGCGAAGCGAUUCGGAGGGAAGUUUUCGGAUGGAAUCCGAAUUGACUGAGCGGCGGACGGGUGAGUAACGCGUGGGUAACCUGCCUCAUACGAGGGGGAUAACAGUUAGAAAUGACUGACUAAUACCGCAUAAGCGCACGUGACCGCAUGGUCGAGUGUGAAAAACUCCGGUGGUAUGAGAUGGACCCGCGUCUGAUUAGGUAGUUGGUGGGGUAACGGCCUACCAAGCCGACGAUCAGUAGCCGACCUGAGAGGGUGACCGGCCACAUUGGGACUGAGACACGGCCCAAACUCCUACGGGAGGCAGCAGUGGGGAAUAUUGCACAAUGGGGGAAACCCUGAUGCAGCGACGCCGCGUGAGUGAAGAAGUAUUUCGGUAUGUAAAGCUCUAUCAGCAGGGAAGAAAAUGACGGUACCUGACUAAGAAGCCCCGGCUAACUACGUGCC
Molecule: ribosomal RNA, 475 nt
Filed under: uncultured bacterium
Lineage: Bacteria
Description: bacterial SSU rRNA
Rfam family: Bacterial small subunit ribosomal RNA
Source: RNAcentral